Molecule: ribosomal RNA, 460 nt
Filed under: uncultured bacterium
Lineage: Bacteria
Description: partial 16S ribosomal RNA
Rfam family: Bacterial small subunit ribosomal RNA
Source: RNAcentral
CCUACGGGAGACAGCAGUGAGGAAUAUUGGUCAAUGGGCGAGAGCCUGAACCAGCCAAGUCGCGUGAAGGAUGAAGGAUCUAUGGUUUGUAAACUUCUUUUAUAUGGGAAUCAAGUGAGGAACGUGUUCCUUCUUGUAUGUACCAUAUGAAUCCGCAUCGUCGAACUACGUGCCAGCAGCCGCGGUAAUACGGAGGAUGCGAGCGUUAUCCGGAUUUAUUGGGUUUAACGGGUGCGUAGGUGGUUAAUUAAGUCAGCGGUGAAAGUUUGUGGCUCAACCGUAAAAGUGCCGUUGAAACUGGUUGACUUGAGUAUAUUAGAGGUAGGCGGAAUGCGAGGUGUAGCGGUGAAAUGCAGAGAUAUCACGCAGAACUCCGAUUGCGAAGGCAGCUUACUAAACUAUAACUGACACUGAAGCACGAAAGCGUGGGGAUCAAACAGGAUUAGAUACCCGUGUAGUC